This 89-nucleotide transfer RNA is filed under the name Candidatus Cytomitobacter primus. It matches the Rfam family "tRNA". From Rfam's summary of the family: Transfer RNA (tRNA) molecules are approximately 80 nucleotides in length. Their secondary structure includes four short double-helical elements and three loops (D, anti-codon, and T loops). The record is from Rfam by way of RNAcentral. Lineage: Bacteria; Pseudomonadati; Pseudomonadota; Alphaproteobacteria; Holosporales; Holosporaceae.
GGAGAAAUGCCAGAGUGGCUUAAUGGGGCGGUCUCGAAAACCGUUGUAUAAUUUUACUUAUACCGUGGGUUCAAAUCCCACUUUCUCCG